Molecule: ribosomal RNA, 450 nt
Filed under: uncultured bacterium
Lineage: Bacteria
Description: partial 16S ribosomal RNA
Rfam family: Bacterial small subunit ribosomal RNA
Source: RNAcentral
GUGGGGAAUUUUGGACAAUGGGCGAAAGCCUGAUCCAGCCAUGCCGCGUGCAGGAUGAAGGCCUUCGGGUUGUAAACUGCUUUUGUACGGAACGAAAAGACUCCUUCUAAUAAAGGGGGUCCAUGACGGUACCGUAAGAAUAAGCACCGGCUAACUACGUGCCAGCAGCCGCGGUAAUACGUAGGGUGCAAGCGUUAAUCGGAAUUACUGGGCGUAAAGCGUGCGCAGGCGGUUAUAUAAGACAGAUGUGAAAUCCCCGGGCUCAAACUGGAAACUGCAUUUGUGACUGUAUAGCUAGAGUACGGUAGAGGGGGAUGGAAUUCCGCGUGUAGCAGUGAAAUGCGUAGAUAUGCGGAGGAACACCGAUGGCGAAGGCAAUCCCCUGGACCUGUACUGACGCUCAUGCACGAAAGCGUGGGGAGCAAACAGGAUUAGAAACCCGGGUAGUCC